CCAGCUUUAGUUGUAUAAUGAUUUGAGGCCAGCCUGGAACAAGUGAGACCCUGUGUCACAAUUAGGAAAUGGGGGAGAUUGUGUGUUUCUACUAAGUCUGACCAGAAGUUCUUACCAUGAGAAAUUUACUAAGGAGAAAUUAAUUUUAAGUAGAUUCUACCAAAGUGUUAAGUAGAUUCUACUGAAAACUGGAUGUGGGAGCUGUGAGGACUUUAGCCACUUCACAAGCCUGUGUCCUUCAAGAAUUUCUGCCUUAGAACCUGAAGAGCACUUUUCUGGCCUGGGUAUCUUACACUCUGUCUGGAGCCGGAGAGGAGGAGGGAGGCCUUCACCAACAUUGUGUAUCUGAAUGACAUAAGUCUGAUGGACGGGGACAAAGGGUGGAUCCCUGAGACCUUGGAGGAAUGGAAGCUUCUCUUACAUCUACUACAGAACAGGAGCACAAGGCCAACUCCUCAGGAGCCACAAAAUGGGAGCCUCAGUGAUGGGCCUGCUCCCAUCAAUGUGGGGAUUGUGGCACUCCUGUUAGCUAAGGCUUUGGGCCCAGAUCAGGCCUGGUCACUGCUAAAGGAAUGUGGUCUGGCCCUUGAGUUGUCCGCAAAGUUUACCAGAACCUGUGACAUCCUGAGGAUCGCUGAGAGAAGGCAGAGGUAAUGCCACCCUGCCAUACACUGUCUGUGGUGUCUGAGCAUGUUACUUGAGACUUUCAACAGCAGGUAGAUGGGAGUGCAGAGAUCAUGUAAUCUCAAGCCCUCACUAGCUCAUGAGGAGACUGAGACACCUCUGCUGAUUGUGGUAUAAAAGAGGAGGCCAAAGUAAAAUUUUACUCAUCACCAUGAUCAGGGUACUCUUCAGGUUAGUGUGAGUACCCACUACCAUGCACCCUCAGUUCUGUAAGAAUGCUACUGUUACUGGCCAGGCCUGGUAGAAGGAUCUGUGAACUUGCUGCUUAGGAGGUCAGUGCUGGGAAACCACAAGUUCAAAGACACACAGGGGAUUUAGUAAAAUCCGUCUCAAAGGUGAAAAGGGGCUGGGCAUGUAGCUCAGUGGCAGGGAUUUAUUUAUUAUGUAUGAAGCCCUGCAUUCAAUAUCCAGCUUAAAAUACAGAGCAAAACACAAACGCAUGCACGUGCACACACAAGCACACACACACAGUUAUUUUUGUCAAGUUUUUCUUUUUCUGUUUGUUGUAAAAUAGAUGUUGUAGAAACA
Molecule: long non-coding RNA, 1212 nt
Organism: Arvicola amphibius (Eurasian water vole)
Lineage: Eukaryota; Metazoa; Chordata; Mammalia; Rodentia; Cricetidae
Exons: 3
Source: RefSeq, a predicted model, not a curated record